UACUCGACGGGCCUCACGCUAACAACCACUUAACUCUGCAGCGCAUCUCGCGCACAUACGCGCUUUUCGUGUCCGCAGUGUGUAAAUCAUGCCGCGUUAGUCCCAGCGUUCGGAAUUAUUAUUUCCAAUCAUACACCGACUUAUCUCCUGGUGGCUCCGAUUAUUUUCGUUGAUAUGGGGUCGCUCAUCAAGUAAAAGCCGCUCUGGGACGGGCCUGAGCCUACGUCAUGUCAUAGGGACAUUACGGGUUUUUGAGGUUACGCAUUACAUGGAUUGUUAUUGGGUCAUUUGGGACCGCGCUACGUAACGUUUUGACGUUAUUGUUUACUAUUCUCAAAUUUUCCUGCAAAUUAUACAAAAUUUUAACCACUUAUUUUGCCAAUUAAUUUUUCUUUCAUUAUUGGCCCUUCCUACUUGGAGUUAGGGUUCGAAGGACAGGCCAGGGGCGGACUGGGUGGAAAAAGGCCCGCCCGAGUGGCAACCACCCCGCCACCCCGUUACCCGGGCCAGUCCGGCUCCCUCAGGGGAGCGUUAAAUAUUUUUAGGGAGGAUUAGACCUACGUUACAGGUGCUUUACGGAAAGGAAGGGAUUCAAGGGAUGCAAGCAAGACCCGAUUUUUUGCUUAAUUUGUUUUAUGAACGGUCGUAUAUAGGCGAAUGAAUGGCUUGUUACAGGAGACGGCGCAGUGCCCUAUCUCGAGUGGGUUGUCAAUGGAGCUUAUCUUAUACCUGAUAAGAUCAGCUUCUGUUUGAUAAAGUACUCUGAAUGAGUUGUCCGUUUCAUUAGGUGUGUCUUGUUUCCGUCCCAACUCAGAUAAUAUUAUUUUUCGAUUCUUUACCAGUCUCAUUGUCAGCCGAGUAAAAUUCAAGCAGCGGAGCUGCGAUGAGCACAUUGGUAGAUCCACCGCCCAACCUGUGCCGCACCUGUAUCCUAAUCGCCUUACCUGUCAUUGUUUGUCCUUCUCAAAUGUCGGAAUGGAAUCCGUCACGUAUGUUUUACAAUUGUUUCACUUUCGAAAUAUUUCCGUCAUUUUCUUGCACACCCGCGAUCGGCCUCCUUGCCUAAGAAAUCUCACCGACACGGUUCACUUCUCUCGCACCUGCACUCUCACCUUUCUGCUAAUCACUAAUAAGUGAACGUUUCAGAAGCCCAAACUCCUAUGCUAUGCAAGAAUGUCGUAUGAACCUACAAGCGUUGCCAAAUAUAGCUUGACAAAAAUCGAAUUUCUCGGGUAACCUGUGGACAUAUGUCUUCCAACUUAUCAGUGAAUUUUAUUCGCAAUUUUUCUAUCUAAAGUGUCUGAAAUGUUUCAAGGAAAAGCAUUCAAAAUCUCUCUUGAAAAUGUACAUUUCAUCCGGGAAAGUUCGGCAACGCCCAAAGUUUAAUAGUGUGUUUUUACUUCAAGGCAGCUAAUUGACGCUGCGAUUCGAUGAGGCAAUUAAACCUCAAAGAACUCGACUCCCUCUGCGUAAGGUUGAAGCCUUUUUAUAAGACAAAGGUGGCGGAAACAAAAAACUGCCCACUU
RNAcentral lists this long non-coding RNA (1526 nucleotides) under Bemisia tabaci. RNAcentral's name for it is "lncRNA ENSSWEETPG002528". Lineage: Eukaryota; Metazoa; Arthropoda; Insecta; Hemiptera; Aleyrodidae. The record is from RNAcentral.